UUUCUGAGAAUUCGAGUUUUGGUUGCUUAAAAUUGGACAUCAAUCGAGGGUAAAGGAAGAGGAGUUGUUGCUGAGGAAUAUUUUGAGGAAAGGAUACGGCCCCGAGCUGAAGCGGACGGUAAUUCGAAGGGAGGAGAGGUUGAAGACGAGCGCGUGAAGGACACGCGAGGCGCGUGGGAAGGCUGCGAGUGGAGGUGCGACUGUGCGCGGAUCGGCGCGUGAGAAAGCAAACCUCCGACCUUGCAUUGGCGCGUGAGGGCGCGUGAGAAGGUCUAAUAGGAAGGAAUUGUGUUGAAGUACUAUUAAACGUACAUUCAAGGAGGAAAAAGGGGUUCGAAACCAAAUUUAGAUGAUGCAGGCCAACCGAGGACGAGACCAGCGGACUGAAGACUACUGGGAAUCCAUGUCUGUGUCUGUUUUGUAUAAUUAUGUUUUCGCUGUCGAGAAUUUACUUCGGUUGUUUUAAGUUUAAAUAGCACCGGUUUUAAACGUUUUACUGGAUGUUUUUUUUAAACAUUUUGAAAUUAUGGU
Molecule: long non-coding RNA, 531 nt
Organism: Cucurbita moschata (crookneck pumpkin)
Lineage: Eukaryota; Viridiplantae; Streptophyta; Magnoliopsida; Cucurbitales; Cucurbitaceae
Exons: 4
Source: RefSeq, a predicted model, not a curated record